Molecule: ribosomal RNA, 408 nt
Filed under: uncultured bacterium
Lineage: Bacteria
Description: bacterial SSU rRNA
Rfam family: Bacterial small subunit ribosomal RNA
Source: RNAcentral
UGGGGAAUAUUGGACAAUGGGCGGAAGCCUGAUCCAGCAACGCCGCGUGAGGGAUGACGGCCUUCGGGUUGUAAACCUCUUUCGGUGGGGACGAAGCGGAAGUGACGGUACCCACUAAAGAAGCACCGGCCAACUACGUGCCAGCAGCCGCGGUAAUACGUAGGGUGCGAGCGUUGUCCGGAAUUAUUGGGCGUAAAGGGCUCGUAGGCGGUUGGUCACGUCGGGAGUGAAAACGCACAGCUUAACUGUGUGCUUGCUUCCGAUACGGGCUGACUAGAGGUAUGCAGGGGAGAACGGAAUUCCUGGUGUAGCGGUGAAAUGCGCAGAUAUCAGGAGGAACACCGGUGGCGAAGGCGGUUCUCUGGGCAUGACCUGACGCUGAGGAGCGAAAGUGUGGGGAGCGAACAG